UUUUUUUUUUUUUUUUUUGCAAAUAGGCAUUUUCUCUAAUUUUAUUUUGGCCUUUUGGGAUCCAUACAUGCUAUAAACUGUGUUUUACUUUGCGAAGAUGAUAGUUGUUUUGCUUAUCUCAUGUGCACAUAGCUUGACAAUGUAGCUAAGAUGGUUGCCUUCUUUGUAUGGUGAUCUCAUUUCCUUUUGAUGAUGUUAAUGGUUGCAAAACUGUAGAAAGAUCUGUGAAAGAUUUUCUGUAAAUUUUCUAAUUCAUUAAUUUGUUAUUAAUCUUGUCUGUUUUGGUAUUAUAUAUAUUUGUGUGUGCUUAAUUGAGGGCAAUCCCAUUUUGACAUUAGAAUGUACUAUCAAUGGUGAUUGUAUUCACAUACUCGGUAGUUGUUGUAUUGUAUGUUUGUGGACAUACAAGUGGGAGGAGAGGUGCAGUGGACUGUUUAUAUUGCUUGCUUUAUCAAUAUUAUUCUGUUUUUGUAUUUGAGCAUUCCCAUCUGCCAUGUUGCGAGGUAUUGAGAUGGAAAUGUCUUGGGUUGCUGCUUUGGGUUGUGUUUGAUCUUUCUUUUAUAGUGUUCUUAGGAUUGCUAGCAUAGUUUAUCUGUUAUUUCCUUCAUUAUCUUUACACAAACUACUGUACAGGGAAAUGCAUUUUGAAUUAGUUAUGAGCUGUAAUUCCUGGCUACAAGGCAGUGGAAAAGAAAUCCACUGCAUCUUGUUUACUGGUUCUGUGUGAGAUCUUCUCAUUCAAACAUGUCAUCUUGUCAUCUUUAUUUUUAUAUUCAAAUAUAAGAGUUGUCAUCUUCACUAAAUCCUUCAAAUUGCAAUGAUUUUGGUAUAACCUAGCAGCUUAUAUUUGUAAAUUUGGGCUCUCUGAAUGCACCUUGUCCUUUCUCAUGACAAAGGCCUGUCAUAUUCAAUGACCAGAUAAUAAAAGCCAAUCAAAUUUGUGGGUCUAGAGUUUUAAUUAUUCGCGGUGUUCGUGCCUGUCUAAUCAUGUGCAGCUGGCAUAAGCGUUUGAUUUAUUUGCAUCUUUCUGCCACUGUUAGAAAUGUACCAAAUAAUAUCAGGUUAAAAACCUUUCAAUUAUGCAGGUUGUUGUUUUGUUAAAUAUGCAACUUCUGAAGAAGCUGAUAGGGCCAUUAGAGCUUUGCACAAUCAACAUACUCUGCCUGGAGGAGUAGGUCCUAUUCAAGUAAGAUAUGCUGAUGGGGAGCGAGAACGCAUUGGUGCAGUUGAGUACAAAUUGUUUGUUGGGUCGCUGAACAGACAGGCUUCAGAAAAGGAAGUUGAGGAAGUAUGUCACAUCUGUCAAUUGGUUGGGUUUAUUCUGCUGUCCAAAAUUAACAUUGUUGCAGCACCAUCUCUCCUCACUUAAAAUUGCAGUUGUCACAGAGGAAGCUUUUCUUUUCUCCCCUGGUGGAGAAGUAAAUUUUGCUGAUCUGCUUUGACAAAUAGAUACAUUGACCAUCAUUUGGAAUACAUUUAAAUCUUGCUUGUUGUGUACUUCUAAUUUAAAGGCACGAAUGUUGUAAUAGUAGCAACUUUCCUUUUUCAGAUUUUUUCACCAUAUGGCCAUGUUGAAGAUGUCUAUCUCAUGCGUGAUGAAUUGAAGCAAAGCCGCGGUGUGUUCUUUUUAUUAUUUUUGAUUUUGAUCUAAAUAUUAUGUGCCUGUUUUUGAGUUGGAGGUUUGGAUUUUCAGCCUUGCAUUUAUUUGCCAAGCUUUGGUGUGAUAUUUCAAAAGCGAAAUCAGAAGAGCAUUCUUUUCCGUGCUAUUUGUGAACUAAUCAAAUGCUUGAUUCUAAUAUUAUUAUUAUUCAUUUCCUUAAAACAUUUGCAAAAUACUAGGUAUCUACUUAUUGUAGUCUUUAGAAGGUAUGAGAUUGCUAAUAUGAUCAAUACAUACAAUCUCAGCUCUUAAUUCAUUUGGCCAGCAGUUUGUACUUCUAAAUUUCAUUUCUUGUGGUGUUUGUCUACAUGAAUCUAAUGCCAUUGUGUUUCUAUUUUCCUGUUGCUGUUGCUUUUCUUUAAUUCAUUCUGAAGGAUGUGGAUUUGUUAAAUACUCUCAUAGAGAAAUGGCACUGGCAGCUAUAAAUGCUCUCAAUGGAAUUUACAGAAUGAGAGGUUGUGAUCAACCAUUGACUGUUCGGUUUGCUGAUCCUAAGAGGCCUAGGCCUGGAGAUUCAAGGGGUAGUCCUGCAUUUGGAGGUCCAGGCUUUGGCCCCCGAUUUCAAGCUCCAGGGCCCAGACCGGUGCCCAAUUUUGGUGACCCAAUGGGUGAUAGAGGUCCACCUAAUGCUUGGCAUCCAAUGAGUACACAGAAUAUGGGGCCUUCCUCCGAUGCUGGUGCACGUGGUUUUGGGAGUCGGUUGCCUCCUAGAUCUGGUGACCUACCUUUAAAUCAGGCUGGUCCCGUGGGUGGCCCUUCCGAUGGUGCUCCUCCAGGACAUGUUUCUUCUACUGCACAAAAUUUUAACCAGCAUUUACAGCAACUACCACCAGUUAGCCAGCAAAUCUCUCCAUUGCAGAAACCCCUCCAGUCUCCCCAGCAUUUGCCUCCUCUUCAACUACACCCUCAAGUUACAUCUUAUUCACAGACACAAACAUCCCAUGCUGGUCAUGCUCCACCUACUGCUGGUCAGACACCUUUCACUCAAGCACCACCAUCACAGCAGUAUCUUGGUAUGAGUGGACAGUUGUCUGCUUCUCAACCUCAGCUGCAGCAGGGUGCCUCAGCUGGUACACCAUUACAAGCACCUUUGAAUAUCAACCUACAAUCCCAUUCUGGGUCUGCUGGGACAAAUCAACAACAGAUUCCUGCUCCUGUCCAGCCGCAAAUGCUUCAGCCCCUUCAUCAGUCCCCUUCUCAAUUAGCUCAGAUGCUGUCACAACAGACACAAACUCUGCAAGCAACCUUUCAGUCAUCCCAGCAGGCAUUCUCACAGCUGCAACAACAAUUGCAGAUGAUGCAGCCAUCAAAUCAAGGUUUAACAUUGCAGCAGAGCCCUCAGCCUACUAAACAGCAGAUGUUGGGACAUGGGACAACUUCCAUCUGGUAAAGACCUGCCUGCCAAUUUGUCACAUUAGGAGGUGCUGUUGCUAUAGCACCUUGCUUUUGGCCCCUCAUACUCUUAAUAUUAGGACUGGAGAUAGGAGGAGUUUGAGUGGUUAGCUCUGCUUUCCUGCAAAGUAGCUGGGAUGGAAAGGUGAUUGUUUGCUCCUAGCUCUAAUACUAGGGCUAUGUAUCUCUCAUAAUCUUCAUUGUAGAAAUUCUUGUCAGGGAAAGGUAUCCCUAACUAGCAGUUACAGACUUUAAAGAAGAUAUUAGAAAUAGAGAGAUAGGAAGAAGUAGAAAGAGGAAUUGGGAGAGAAAUGGAGUGAAAAAGAAGAUAGUAUCGGAAUUCUUGAUAUUGAUUACAGGUGUUCAAUACAACUUUGUUUAUACACUGAUUCAGCUGGAAUAUAUCCUGUUCCCACGAAACUAUUCUUCCUCUCUAACAAAUUCUAUAACUGCCUCCAACAUCCCAAACGGACUCCAGACAUCUAAACCAUAAUUAUAACUCUCUUCUAACUUCUAUUAGACUCUUUACUAGGCUUCUUCCUAUACCUAGUAUGUCUGUAUGUAACAAUUCUCUCCCCAUAUUAUGUUUCAUUCUUUGAAUCAUGGCCUUCUCUGUUGUUUAAGCUCAUUAUUGUGCUGUCUUGCUUUAAAAAUUUAUAAAAUUGUGGUUUCCUCUAAGAAUGUUCCUUUCUGUGAUUACAUAGUGGCCUGGGAUUCCACCAAAAGCAGUUGCUAGUGCACCGGCUGCAGAUGUGCCUCCAUCUACUUCUGCUCCUGGUGCACCUGUAGUAACUCAGCCAGUGGCUCCUGUAAAAUGUAAUUGGACAGAGCAUACCUCUCUUGAGGGUUUCAAGUACUAUUACAACAGUGUAACUCGAGAAAGCCGGUGGGAGAAACCAGAGGAGUUGACAUUACUUGAACAACCACAGCAGCAGCAACUGCAACAGAAACCUCCAAUUCAACAGCCUCAAACCCAAUCAAAUCCUCAAGUUCUGCCCACCCAGCAAGUGCCACAAGCACAACAGAUGUCACUUCAAGCUCAGUUCCAAACUCAGUUUCGCCACCAGCAGCAGCUGCAACAGCCUUCCUUUCCAUCAUCGUAUGCUGCUUCUGGAGUUAGAGUUCAGCAAGAUGCUCAGGAACUUGGUUAUACACAAUUACCUGCUGCAGCUAAUUCAGUUAAUGACCCAGCAAGCAUUCAGGAAUCUUCUUUGCUCUUUUCUUUUCAUUUUUUUCCCUCCCUUUUUUGUGCAUGUUCCUAUUUCUUUUCUGUAAUUCUACGUUUGUACUUUUAUCUCUGAAGUCAUUUCUGCCACAGGGGGUUCAGGCUGCUCCGGAGUGGAUGUGGAAGAAUAAGGCAGCAGGAACUUGAAGCAGAAGAGAGGGUUCCAGGGCAGCAGAGGCAUAAUGUUGCUGCUAUUCAAAUGCCUGGUGAGAAAAUGGUGGCAUGCUCAGUGACAAGGCAAGGGAAGGCAACAGCGGCACUUACUGCAAACCAAAAUGCUAGAAAUGAGAACUAGAAUGGUUUCUGCAGCCUGUAGCUUCCCGCUUUGCUCUGGGAUUUACUGUCUCAGUUACUGAGCAAAUUGAGCAUGUCUCAUCAGUACAUGGGGCAUGUAAUGGCGACACACUCUGUUGAAGUCCAAAUCCAAAUGUUAUGUAACAUUUCCAGUAGUUGUUGUAAUAUGCAUGUUAGUCCCAUUUAGCACCUUGAUUGGAAACUGCUGGAUGGCAAAUUGAUACCCAUGAAAAAUACUGUUAAUAAUAAUAAUAACUCUUAUUUGAUCAAAGUUGUAUUGCCCUAGUUCAAAGCAUAGAGGGAUCUUGCAAUGAACCUGACUACAGGUAUUAUCAUCUUGCUAAUAAGCUAGGAGUUUAAUUGACAGCCCUACAGUUCUUGCGAAUCUCCCCAGAUGUCCCAGACAGUGGCCUCAGGCUUCCCAUUUUUAACAUUGAAUUCUUGAAAUCCUCAUAGAACAAGAAUGGGUCCUCCGCAUAGGAUUCGACUAUCUGGCGUGUUUGGUCAUCAUCAGUCACAAGGGUCUGGUCGGAUGGAAGUAAUCCCUCCCCCGAAAGAAGAUUAAGGUAGUACUGGUUGUCAAAUGUUGCUGGAGUCACCAAGUCAAGGUGUGCUAGCGUAGAGGUGCUGUCGGGUUCCGAGCACAGCUGCUGCAGCGACUGAAUGAAAUCCAAAUUAAUAUCAGGGCCAUUGGAGUUGGCUGUCCUUUGAAACCGAGAGCUGAAGGUUGUGCAUCUAGCCUUUCCUAUAGUAUGAGCACCAGAGAGGGCAACCAUGUCAUUUAGUGAGAGGCCAACAUUCUGAAAGCUGGUCACUAGUGUUGCCACAGUAGAAUUUGGAGCAGGAAUAUUGUCGAUGGCUGCAGAUUUGCUAGCGCUCAAGCUGUCCUUCCUACCCAUCUGGACUUCCCAACUUGGUCCACCUGACAGAACAACAGAAUCUCUGGCAACGAUUGCAAGAAUAUCAGCACAAGAUACAGUUAGAGGACAAACAGAUUCUAGUUCGGAUUUAAUUCCAUCGAUCACUUCAAAUCCUCUCAACGAAUUCAAGUUGGGUGGUGCAGUUUUUUCACCCACAAAAUUGCCAGUAUCAUCUAGCAACACUGAAGCGUCGCAGCCAUUAACAAAGCAAUCAUGGAAAUGAAGACGAAGUAGGGAAGCUGCCAUUCUUGGGUCUUGAGAGAUUGCAGUUUCAACCCAAGAGAAGAUGAUAGCUUCUGCCUCUGGGCAGCUUUCUUGGUAAAUGUUAAAUUGCAGAACAAAACCAGUAUCAUCUAUGCAUGUUUCAUUCAAGGUGGAUGGUGUCUCUGCAAAUGCAAUUACAACCUUAAGCAUUACAAAACAGAAAGCUAAGCGCUUUGCCAUUUUUGCACUGAUAACAAGUGUUGUAAUGAGUUGGGUUAUAUAGACUCAAGAUUAUGUCAUUAAUUGUAGCAGAGAGCAGUUAAGGGACAGCAAUGGGAGAACUUAGAAGAGGUCAAGUUCACAUAUACGAAUCACAUACAUAAUGCCAUGUGCUUCCUUGUGCCUUUCUGAGAAUCCCUCUCUCUCAAACUUGCUGUUGGGGAUGGAAAAUUUCCCUCUUGUUAAGAGAUAGUGAGCUCAU
RNAcentral lists this unclassified non-coding RNA (6176 nucleotides) under Hevea brasiliensis (rubber tree). The record is from RNAcentral. Lineage: Eukaryota; Viridiplantae; Streptophyta; Magnoliopsida; Malpighiales; Euphorbiaceae.